AACGAACGCUGGCGGCAUGCCUAACACAUGCAAGUCGAACGCGUGUAGCAAUACACGAGUGGCGGACGGGUGAGUAACGCGUGGGAACCUGCCCAAUGGUAGGGAAUAACUGCGGGAAACUGCAGCUAAUACCCUAUGCUCCCUACGGGGGAAAGAUUUAUCGCCAUUGGAGGGGCCCGCGUCGGAUUAGCUAGUUGGCGGGUAACGGCCACCAAGGCUCCGACGGGUAGCUGGUCUGAGAGGACGAUCAGCCACACUGGCACUGCGACACGGGCCAGACUCCUACGGGAGGCAGCAGUGAGGAAUAUUGCGCAAUGGGCGAAAGCCUGACGCAGCGACGCCGCGUGGGGGAUGAAGGUCUUCGGAUUGUAAACCCUUUCGGGAGGGAAGAUGGAACGAGCAAUCGUUCGGACGGUACCUCCAGAAGCAGCCACGGCUAACUUCGUGCCAGCA
This 453-nucleotide ribosomal RNA is filed under the name uncultured bacterium. RNAcentral's name for it is "bacterial SSU rRNA". It matches the Rfam family "Bacterial small subunit ribosomal RNA", at positions 29 to 513 of the family's 1533-position model. The record is from RNAcentral.